Molecule: ribosomal RNA, 217 nt
Filed under: uncultured bacterium
Lineage: Bacteria
Description: partial 16S ribosomal RNA
Rfam family: Bacterial small subunit ribosomal RNA
Source: RNAcentral
UAACCUGCCAAGAGAUCGGGAUAACACCUGGAAACAGAUGCUAAUACCGGAUAACAACAGAUGAUGCCUAUCAACUGUUUAAAAGAUGGUUCUGCUAUCACUCUUGGAUGGACCUGCGGUGCAUUAGCUAGUUGGUAGGGUAACGGCCUACCAAGGCGAUGAUGCAUAGCCGAGUUGAGAGACUGAUCGGCCACAUUGGGACUGGGACACGGCCCAA